Molecule: transfer RNA, 93 nt
Filed under: Pseudomonadota bacterium
Lineage: Bacteria; Pseudomonadati; Pseudomonadota
Also listed under: 4 other names
Description: tRNA-Ser
Rfam family: tRNA
About the family: Transfer RNA (tRNA) molecules are approximately 80 nucleotides in length. Their secondary structure includes four short double-helical elements and three loops (D, anti-codon, and T loops). Further hydrogen bonds mediate the characteristic L-shaped molecular structure. tRNAs have two regions of fundamental functional importance: the anti-codon, which is responsible for specific mRNA codon recognition, and the 3' end, to which the tRNAs corresponding amino acid is attached (by aminoacyl-tRNA synthetases). tRNAs cope with the degeneracy of the genetic code in two manners: having more than one tRNA (with a specific anti-codon) for a particular amino acid; and 'wobble' base-pairing, i.e. permitting non-standard base-pairing at the 3rd anti-codon position.
Source: RNAcentral
GGAGAGGUGCCGGAGUGGUCGAACGGGCUCGCCUGGAAAGUGAGUGUACGGUGUUGAGCCGUACCGAGGGUUCGAAUCCCUCCCUCUCCGCCA